CAACAACCUCCCCCCCCCCAAAAAAAGAAAAACCCUUGUCACAUGAUGUCUGCUGAACAUUAAUCUAGGGGAUUAUAUCAUGCAGGCAUCUGAGUGCUUAGACUGCCACACAGAUUCCUUUAAUGUCAUCCUAAAUUGCCUAAGGAACAAAGAGUGCUGUGCACUGCUGUGUUGUUUCAAAGUACACACAGCUACAGCCAAAAUACAAAUUUAGCCUUAAUAUUGAGAAAAGUUAAAUUCAGAAGAGGAUUUCCUAUUGUGCAGUCUAUAGCUGCAGGCUCAAGUGUUCCACCACAAGGCUCAGCGUGUGUGCAGUCCACAGCUCCAGCACGAAACCGACUCGCAUCCCAGCCAGCAGAAGAAUUCCUAGAGAUCCCAUAACUACCACAUGAUUAUAACUGUCACAAAUACCAAGACUCACAGGAGAAAAUCUGGGACUAGAAACUUGAACCACCGUUCAGAACUUGAAACAUGAGGCGAGAUGUCCACAGCAGCAGUGACUCCUACCAGCCACAGCAGCAGCAGCAGUGACAGCACAGCCAUAUCAGGGAAGGCAAUACAAACAGUGCUAACCAGGUUUCUGCCGGCAGCCCCUGAAGGAAUGGAACAGUUUGCUGACAGAGAAGCGUGCAGCAAGGAGCACCGAGAAUUGAUGCUGUCCUCGCCUGCCUGCAUCUGCUGCCGAACAGAGCCGUGUCUGCAGCCCAUCCAUGCCAGCAUCCUGCUGCCCGCUGAGCCAGCUGUGCAGGGCCAUCUCACACAGCACCCAGCUGGAUCGGGCAGCGGGAUCACAGGCUUCUCCCAGAGACCUAAACAGUCUCAGGGCAGAUACAUAACAGUAACAAUCCACUGACCACAGUUAUGAAAUCAUCCCACAUGGCCUGUGGAAGCCUGGAAAAGUUAGAUCCUGAGAGCCAAAUAUUGCUAUCAGAAGACCAGAAUGCUUUUCACUCAUGGUGACAGCAUAGUUUAGUCUAGAUGAAAUCUACGUUUACACGUAAUAAAAGAAAUUACAAAAUAUCUAGUUCUUUAACA
Molecule: long non-coding RNA, 1035 nt
Filed under: Numida meleagris (helmeted guineafowl)
Lineage: Eukaryota; Metazoa; Chordata; Aves; Galliformes; Numididae
Description: lncRNA (ENSNMEG00000010542.1)
Source: RNAcentral